GAAACAGAUGCUAAUACCAGAUAACAACACUAGACGCAUGUCUAGAGUUUGAAAGAUGGUUCUGCUAUCACUCUUGGAUGGACCUGCGGUGCAUUAGCUAGUUGGUAAGGUAACGGCUUACCAAGGCAAUGAUGCAUAGCCGAGUUGAGAGACUGAUCGGCCACAUUGGGACUGAGACACGGCCCAAACUCCUACGGGAGGCAGCAGUAGGGAAUCUUCCACAAUGGACGAAAGUCUGAUGGAGCAACGCCGCGUGAGUGAAGAAGGGUUUCGGCUCGUAAAGCUCUGUUGGUAGUGAAGAAAGAUAGAGGUAGUAACUGGCCUUUAUUUGACGGUAAUUACUUAGAAAGUCACGGCUAACUACGUGCCAGCAGCCGCGGUAAUACGUAGGUGGCAAGCGUUGUCCGGAUUUAUUGGGCGUAAAGCGAGUGCAGGCGGUUCAAUAAGUCUGAUGUGAAAGCCUUCGGCUCAACCGGAGAAUUGCAUCAGAAACUGUUGAACUUGAGUGCAGAAGAGGAGAGUGGAACUCCAUGUGUAGCGGUGGAAUGCGUAGAUAUAUGGAAGAACACCAGUGGCGAAGGCGGCUCUCUGGUCUGCAACUGACGCUGAGGCUCGAAAGCAUGGGUAGCGAACAGGAUUAGAUACCCUGGUAGUCC
RNAcentral lists this ribosomal RNA (656 nucleotides) under uncultured bacterium. Its description in RNAcentral is "bacterial SSU rRNA". It matches the Rfam family "Bacterial small subunit ribosomal RNA", at positions 153 to 796 of the family's 1533-position model. The record is from RNAcentral.